This 452-nucleotide ribosomal RNA is filed under the name uncultured bacterium. RNAcentral describes it as "bacterial SSU rRNA". It matches the Rfam family "Bacterial small subunit ribosomal RNA", at positions 365 to 807 of the family's 1533-position model. The record is from RNAcentral.
UUCGCAAUGCCCGAAAGGGUGACGAAGCGACGCCGCGUGCGGGAAGAAGGCCUUCGGGUUGUAAACCACUGUCGGGAGUUAGGAAAUGUAAGGGUGCUAAUAGUAUCCUUACUUGACUAAGGCUCCGGAGGAAGCCACGGCUAACUCUGUGCCAGCAGCCGCGGUAAUACAGAGGCGGCAAGCGUUGUUCGGAAUUAUUGGGCGUAAAGAGCACGUAGGCGGCUAUGUAAGUCGGUUGUGAAAGCCUUCCGCUCAACGGAAGAACAGCAUCCGAUACUACAUGGCUUGAGUGCGGGAGGGGAGAGUGGAACUUCUGGUGGAGCGGUGAAAUGCGUAGAUAUCAGAAGGAACGCCGGCGGCGAAAGCGGCUCUCUGGCCCAUAACUGACGCUGAGUGUGCGAAAGCUAGGGGAGCAAACGGGAUUAGAUACCCCGGUAGUCCUAGCCGUAAAC